RNAcentral lists this unclassified non-coding RNA (625 nucleotides) under Onthophagus taurus. Its description in RNAcentral is "pyridoxine/pyridoxamine 5'-phosphate oxidase-like, transcript variant X1". Lineage: Eukaryota; Metazoa; Arthropoda; Insecta; Coleoptera; Scarabaeidae. The record is from RNAcentral.
CAAAAUACCAAACUAUCAAUAUAAAAAUCACCAAAUCUAAUCUUGCUUUCUUUGUAAUUUCGCAGUGAUAUUUAUAAAGGGAUGGAUCUUUUAUACUGCAACCUUUACAGUGUCAAAGUUAUUCAAACGCAGGAUUUAAAUAUUACUUACUUGAGAGACCAGAGUUUAGGAAAAAUAAAUAUGCCGCAUUAACGUUUAUUUGGCCUGCAAAAAGAAUGGUUCGAAUAGAGGGAAUCACUAACGGUCUACCGAAACAUGAAAUACAACAAUUCUUCUUUAAUAAAAUCCCUUAUGAUGAACAAAUAACCAUGUUUUGCUUUUGUAAUUUGAAAUCUAUUAAAAACAAAGAAGACCUAAUAGAACAAAUUGAUGAAACCAAGAGGAAAUAUGAAAAAGGAAAAGUCCCGAUGCCUCCUUAUUUUUCUGGGCAUUUAUUGGAACCAAAGAAUAUAGAAUUUUAUGAACAUACCGGGGAUACUUAUCAAAAAAGGUUAAAAUUUCUAAAGAAAGAAGAAAAACCUGAAGAAAAGAAUCAAUUGUUGUUUGAGGGCGAAAAUGGUUGGAACUAUCAAAUUUUGUCUCCAUAAAUUUACCACAUAUAUUGAAAAUAAAGUAAUUAACUCAA